GGGGGCGCGCGCGCGGUUAGCGGGCAGCGAGGGUCACCUGGGCGGUGCGCAGCACGGCGGGAACAUGGCGCGCGGAACCGGCGCGCGCGCCUAGCUGGCGGGACCGUUAGAUCGAGGCGGAUGCGGCCCGGACCCCGUGGAUAUGGAGCAAUCGCCGCCGCUGGCGCCGGAGCCCACCCAAGGGCCAACCACCACAAGGAGCUGAAGGCGGCGGGAGCCCGAGUCGCCGCCGGCGUCGGUGCCGUCAAAGAAGAUGGCCAGGGAGACAGCAGCGUGGUCAGAGUGGUAGGAGCUGGCCAUCGGUGAGAGCUGCUCCAUGCCUGGCUGCUGGGUGCUAGAGCUUGUGGACCACUGGCUUGCCUCACUGUGGUUGGUGGUGGCGGUGACAGAGUGUGCAGCACGACCAGAGUGGCUUUUCUGGCUUUGCCCGCCCAGCUGCUCCAUGCCAGGAGGAGGAGGAGACACCUAGAGCCUGCGACACCAUGGCUCGCCUCGCUGCAGUGUAGGUUCUACCCAUGUAACAGAUGAGGAAACCAAGGAGCACAGUUAUUUACUAACUCGCACAAGGCAAGUUUCAAAAUUGUCUUUGAAAAUAAUGAUUGCUUUUAAGGUUUAUUCUAUAAUGGUUUAAGAUCAUGGGUUACAGAAGUAGAACAACAGUGUCUAAUUACUAGUUCUAAUAAUUCUUAUCGGAUUUGUUGAGAUUUUAUACACAUACAUGUUUGUUUUUGUGUAUAAGUAUAUAUGUAACAAUGUAUUACACAUAUGAAUUAACUGUUUAAUAUGUGUGAACUAUUAUAUUCAUUACUUGGCAUUAAUGUUUAGGUUGUUUCGAUUUUACCCUCAAAAUGUAAUGACUUUUUGAGAGCCUAUAUCAAAUUAUUGGAAAUACAAAUGUAUUUUAAAAGGGAUUAGGGAUUCUUAGUAUUUGAAUAUGAAUUGUGAAGAUUAGUAUUGAAAAAACUCUUGGUAACUUAGCAGGAGUAGCUGCAAAGGUGUUCCUUCUUUUCCUAAAUGAAUUAUAAAGUAUAAGAGUAUUAAAGUCUACUUGUUUUUACUGCUAAAUAUAUAUAUAUAUAUAUGUAGAAUUUGAAGCUUUAGUUCAUCUAACUACGAUUCCUCUCUCAGAGCCUUUCCUGAGGAAAUUUUUUUUUUGGUGGAGAGACUGAGAACACGAGGUGCACAGUGACCAGCUAAAGGGAGAAUGAGGCAGUUCCAAAAUGAAUUAUAAAGUAUACGAGUAUUAAAGUCUACUUGUUUUUUAUUGCUAAAGUUGUGUAUAUGUGUGUGUGUAUAUAUAUAUAUAUAUAUAUAUGUAUGAAAAUGUAGAAUUUGAAGCUUUGGUUCAUCUAACUGUGAUUCCUCUACCAGAGCCUUUCCUGAGGAAAUUUCUUACCCUGGGCCAUCUGUCCUGUGUGUCUGUCCUCCUUGUGAUCAGUUAUUUGCACAGUGGCUCUGACCUGGCAGCCCACCUCUGGGUCCCCACUCCCCCAGAACUUCCCAGUCUGCCUUCUCCUGCCAGACACCCUGAGGCAGCUGUGUCCCCCAGACAUAGCCUGGAUGGGUAUGCACCUGUCCCCACCACCGUCUGUCACCUCUGCUCCACACCUGACCAGUGGCCAGCACCACACUGGGGUUGACUGCCUUCACCGUGUCCAUGCCUGCUCCGGCAGUGGGAGCUCAGUGCCAGGCUGUGGGGGGCAUCUUGGAAAGCAGAGGUGUCCCUGCAGGAUCUCUAUGAGACUGUGUUGUCGGUGGCCGCGCUGGUUUCCCCGGAGUAGCGCCCGAUGUCACUGCCGAGACCUUAACGGAAGGUGCGCGUCCAGUCCUCGCACUGCUGUGUGUUCUGGUCAGAAUGGAAGUGGUGGCCUCCACUAGGAGCUUCUGUGCUUUGGGAGAAUUUGUCCAAACUGUGGUCCCGUUUGUUCUCCAAUCCUGUGUAGACACCAUGACCCAGUUGUGUAAACACAGGCCCCUUGCAGCUCAGAGGCUGCCCUCUGAGAGUCACCGUCGUGUCGCUUUGGGGAAAAGAUGAGCCCGCCCGGUUCCUCUCUGUGCACCUCAUGCCUGGGGCUCCGUCCCGUCCUGGGUGGGUUUUCACCUGCACCGCUGGCCCCUCCCCCGGGAGCGUUGGUGGAGCCGGCUUUCUCAGCCAGGAGCCUGUUGCGGGGUCAGCGGCUGGAGCUCAAGGUCGGCUCAGGGGACUUUCUCGUGCUGGAGGUUGGCUGCGGAGCAGCCUGCAUUUCUCGGAAAACAGGGCCCAGGGCCUGCUCCACGCCGCUGUCCACGUCUUCACCAUCCCCUCGUUGCAGGUUCGAGGCCGAGCUCAGACCUGUGGAGCAGAAGCUGAGUGCGCUGCAGUCCCCGCUGGCCCAGAGGCCCUUCUUCGAGGUGCCCUCACCCCUGGGCGCCGUGGACCUGUACGAGUAUGCAUGCGGGGAUGAGGACCUGGAGCCACUGUGACGCCACCCAUGAGAACGCCGCUGCGGGGCCGCUCCACACGUGCCACGGCCACCACUGGGACACCGCCGCUUGUGUAAAAACUGUUGUCUUUUGUGGAAAAUGAGUGUGUUUGCAUGGAAUGAUAAAUUUUUAUUUAUUCACA
Molecule: long non-coding RNA, 2605 nt
Filed under: Homo sapiens (human)
Lineage: Eukaryota; Metazoa; Chordata; Mammalia; Primates; Hominidae
Description: novel transcript
Source: RNAcentral